AACGGGUGAGCGGAACACGUGUGCAACCUUGCCUUAUCUGGGGGAUAGCCUUUCGAAAGGAAGAUUAAUACCCCAUAAUAUGUUGAAUGGCAUCAUUCGACAUUGAAAACUCCGGUGGAUAGAGAUGGGCACGCGCAAGAUUAGAUAGUUGGUGAGGUAACGGCUCACCAAGUCUACGAUCUUUAGGGGGCCUGAGAGGGUGAUCCCCCACACUGGUACUGAGACACGGACCAGACUCCUACGGGAGGCAGCAGUGAGGAAUAUUGGACAAUGGGUGAGAGCCUGAUCCAGCCAUCCCGCGUGAAGGACGACUGCCCUAUGGGUUGUAAACUUCUUUUGUAUAGGGAUAAACCUACCCUCGUGAGGGUAACUGAAGGUACUAUACGAAUAAGCACCGGCUAACUCCGUGCCAGCAGCCGCGGUAAUACGGAGGGUGCAAGCGUUAUCCGGAUUUAUUGGGUUUAAAGGGUCCGUAGGCGGAUCUGUAAGUCAGUGGUGAAACCUCACAGUUUAACUGUGAAACUGCCAUUGAUACUGCAGGUCUUGAGUGUUGUUGAAGUAGCUGGAAUAAGUAGUGUAGCGGUGAAAUGCAUAGAUAUU
This 600-nucleotide ribosomal RNA is filed under the name uncultured bacterium. RNAcentral's name for it is "bacterial SSU rRNA". It matches the Rfam family "Bacterial small subunit ribosomal RNA", at positions 100 to 698 of the family's 1533-position model. The record is from RNAcentral.